CCUACGGGUGGCAGCAGUGGGGAAUAUUGCACAAUGGGCGCAAGCCUGAUGCAGCCAUGCCGCGUGUGUGAAGAAGGCCUUCGGGUCGUAAAGCACUUUCAGCGGGGAGGAAGGCGGUGAGGUUAAUAACCUCAUCGAUUGACGUUACCCGCAGAAGAAGCACCGGCUAACUCCGUGCCAGCAGCCGCGGUAAUACGGAGGGUGCAAGCGUUAAUCGGAAUUACUGGGCGUAAAGCGCACGCAGGCGGUCUGUCAAGUCGGAUGUGAAAUCCCCGGGCUCAACCUGGGAACUGCAUUCGAAACUGGCAGGCUAGAGUCUUGUAGAGGGGGGUAGAAUUCCAGGUGUAGCGGUGAAAUGCGUAGAGAUCUGGAGGAAUACCGGUGGCGAAGGCGGCCCCCUGGACAAAGACUGACGCUCAGGUGCGAAAGCGUGGGGAGCAAACAGGAUUAGAUACCCUAGUAGUC
Molecule: ribosomal RNA, 465 nt
Filed under: uncultured Klebsiella sp.
Lineage: Bacteria; Pseudomonadati; Pseudomonadota; Gammaproteobacteria; Enterobacterales; Enterobacteriaceae
Description: bacterial SSU rRNA
Rfam family: Bacterial small subunit ribosomal RNA
Source: RNAcentral